CUGGACUCUCUUUUCACAUGCAUAUAUGGCAUUAUGUUAAACAAGUAGCUAGCUCGAUUGGUAUACCACUGGAAAUGGAUUUGGCAACAAGGGGGAGAAUGAGGCCUAGUAUGGCUAUGGUAAGAAUCAAAAUUGACUUGCUAAAGAAACAACCAAAGAUUGUAUAUGUGGGUCAAGUUUAUGAAGAUGCUCCACAAAAAGGUUUAGUCCAAAAGUUUGAAUACGAGGUCAUUCCAAAAUACUCCAAAAUUUGUAGGAAACUUGGGAAUAAUAUGAUUAAUUGUAGAGUUUUGGAGAGGAAGAAAUUGGCAGAGAAUAAAGAGCAAGACAAAAAAAAAAGAGAAUGAGGAAAAGGUAAAGAAUGUACAACUAGAGAAGGAGGGGAAAGGCACAAAUGAAACAUUGAAAUAGGAAAGCAACAUUAGGCCAGGACAUAAGGGCCAAGGUCAGAGUACUUGCGAUGGAGAUCACGACAAGGCUAUGAACAAAGAGAGUCCAAGUGGCUAUAUAUAACAGAAUACUGCUGCUGGGAUGGAAGAGAACAAGCAGGACAAGGCUCAAAAUAUCAAAGCUAGAACUUCCAGAAACAAGAACACUGUCUAAAAUAAGAAACUUCUGAAGAAGAAAUCCAAGGUGACCUUUAAACCUAUUUACCAAUAGGCAACUGGAGGAAAAGUGUCAAGGGAUGGCUAUAUAUAUGCAGGAAAAGGAUAAAACUAUUGGACAAGAGAGCAGCAGCACAAGUGAGACUAAAGGAACUCAUGGUUCAAGGAAGAUUGAUCAAAAUCACGACAUCAAAGACAAUACUCAAGCAAGUAGUAAGGAAGUUGUCAGCACAACCUCCUACAAUCCGGAUGAGAUUGUACAUGUAGACCAACAUUCAGGAUGUCAGAACCAAGAAAUUCCAAAUUUGCAGGAAUAUACUAAUGGAUCUACUAGUAUCUCAUCAUAAAUCAAGGCUAUGCCGGGAAUUGACUUGGUAGUGGAUCUAAAUUCUGAAAAAGAGCAAAAACACAUAAAAAGAGGUCAAGACUUGGAGGUGCCUCAACAACUGAUAGUAGUCACGUCCCCAAUUAGAGUCACUGCAGUGAUUCAUGAAGAUCAAGUGCAAACUAAACAAUCUAGGAAACGAGGGUGAAGAUGAUAGCUUCUCUCCAGUUAUUAAUGGUGGGAACAGAAGCAAGAAUAAGGGAAAAAAGAACAAAGACAAACCCUAUGUUCCUCCGGUAGGAGGAAUAUGCUAUCUUCUGGAAUAUAAGAACACCAAAAAAGCCUUGCCAAGCCUAAAAACUUAGUAUCAUCAACAAAGUUGAGUUCAUUGCCAUCAUGGAACAUUUUGUUAGUAUGAAAAAAUUGAGAGGUGCUAGAAAUUCUUAGGAUUUCAACACUGUAUCUCCAUCACCAAUGAGAAAAUUUGAUUUAUGUGGUUAGGGAACAACUAGACAAGUGUGGUUAAGAAUGAUGACCAACAGAUUACUAUAAAAAUGCAAAAUGGGACUACUAAUGAUAAUCUUUUCUUAACUUAUGUAUAUGCUAAAUGUACUGCAGAAGAAAGGAAAUACUUAUGGUGUAGUUUGGAAAAUAUUAUCAAUGUGCAAAUUGAUGGACCAUGGUGCAACGGAGGAGACUUCAAUAUUAUUCUGGAUCCAGAUGAAAAAAGAGGAGGUAGACCUCACAAAAUGUACAAAAUCUUGGAUUUCAGCAGUUUUAUGGAUCAUUGUAAAGUUAUGGACUUAGGGUUCUUUGGGGAUAAGUUCACUUGGUGUAACAACUGGAAACCCAAAAGAAGAAUCUAAAAAAGGUUGGAUAGAAUUUUUGUUAAUGACCAAUGGUGCCAACUUUUUCAAAAUAAUAUGUUAGACACCUACCAAGAACAGGUUCAGACCACAUGUCAUUUCUGAUUAAAUGUUAUAACAAUAGACAGAAUGGGAUAAGAUAUCUUAGAUUCUUAGAUUUCUGGGCAGAGCAACAUUCUUUUAUGCAACUGGUGGAGGAAGUUUGGAACACUCAGAUAAAUGAAAACUCUAUGUGGAGGCUACAACAAAAGCUAAAACUACUUAGUAGAAGACUCGAUAUAGGUAAUAUAUAUAUCAUCAGGUUCAUGUAUGGGAGGCAAAAGUACACGAUCUAGAGGAACUGGACUUGGCCAACAAUACAGACACAUUAAGAGUGGAACUAAAUAAGGGCCAGGCUGAAUAUAUCAAAUGGAUAAGCAUACAAGAUGCUCUUUUGAGACAGAAGUCUAGAAUAAAAUGGUUUGAAUAAGGUGACUCAAAUACCAAUUAUUUUCAUAGUAUCAUCAGAGACAGGAGAAGGAGGCUUCAACUUCAUAGAAUCAAAGAUCACAGAAAUAGAUGGGUUGAAGGUGAUGACAACAUGUCCAAAGCUGUUUUUCAUUAUUUUCGGAAGUUGAAGUAUCAGUUUAAUGAUUAUGACAUUCCUAAAUGCAUCACUGCUGAGGACAAUGCUCAUCUUACUGCCAUUUUAAAGAAGCUAUUUUCAACAUUAGUGCCUCUAGUGCUACGGGAUCAGAUGGUUACAAUGACACUUUCUUUCAUAAAUGUUGGGAGAUUAUUAAGGAGGAUAUCAAGGACUUCAUCCAGGAUUGUUUCAAUGGGAAAAGAAUGGCUAAAUUUUUUUCUCACACUUGUCUGGUCCUUAUUCCCAAAGUGGAUGCCCUAACUAACUUCGCUGAGCUUAGACCUAUUUGUCUGAGCAAUUUCACUAGCAAGGUCAUAUAAAAAAUUCUCUCAAGUAGGCUUAAUUUUAUGCUUAGAAAACUUAUUUCAGAAAAUCAAAGUGGAUUUGUCAAAAGAAGGAUGAUUACUGAAAACAUCCUCCUGGAUCAAGAAAUUGACAAUAAUAUCACAAAAGCAACAGAGGAGGAAACAUGAUCAUAAAGUUGGAUAUGUCUAAAGCCUAUGACUGGAUGUCUUCGAAUUUUUUAUGUCAGUUUUGAGGAAGUUUGGGUUUUCAGAAGAAUGGUUAGAUCUUAUUUGGGAUCUGGUGGGUGAGGUUUGGUAUUUCAAUCAUUAUUAACGGCACCAGAAAAUGUUUCUUUACCUCCUCACAAGGUCUUAAGCAAGGGUAGGAUGAUGUCUAACGGAGGAAGAAUCACCCUUAUCACGCAUGUUCUUCGGUCACUUUCUACCUAGAUCCUCUCUGCUAUGACUCUCCCAAAAAGCACUAUCAGACUUAUGAAAAAGCAUUUUGCUAACUUCUCCUUGGUUGCAAAUGAGGGGAAGAACAAUUACUACUAGAGUUCAUGGCAUAAUAUGUGUCUACCCAAAAAUGAGGAUGAUAUUGGUAUCAGGAGAAUGAAAGAAGUUAUUGAAACUAUUAGUAUCAAAAGGUGGUGGAGAUUUAGAACUCAACCAUCCUUCUGGGCCACUUUUCUCAAAUCCAAAUGCUGCAAAAGAUCUCACCCAGUGAAGAAACUACCAAUCUCAUCUGAUUCUCACAUAUGGAAGAACCUCAUGAAAAUCAAGGACAAAGUAGAGCCACAUAUCUACUGGAAGAUUCAGCUAGCAACUCUAGCUUCUGGUGGGACAAUUGGACUGGUAAAGGUCCUUUAGCUAAUAUAGUUCAAGGCCCUAAGAAAUUGGCUAAAGUACAUGUGAAUAAUUUCAUCCAUAAUGGAACUUGGGACACCAAUAAGCUGGAGCAGUUCCUUCCCCUCAAUAUCAUUGAUAUCAUCACCAACUUGGAUAUUGGCAAUUGCCACAUGGAUGAUUUCCCUGUGUGGAACAUCUCUGAGGAUGGUCACUUUUCCAACAAAUCUACAUGGCAAUCAAUUAGAAUGAAAAGGCAGAAGAAUAUUUUCAUAAGUAAUGUUUCGCAAAAUUAUAUUCCUUUUAAAAUUUCCUCUCUUACUUGGAGACUUUUUAAAAGAAAAUUUUCUUUGAUGAUAUGCUUGGAAGUUUUGGUACUAACAUCACUUCUAGAUGUUCUUGUUGUACUAAUGCGCAGGUGGAAACUAUGCAACAUAUCUGAUGGCAGUUACAUAAAAGAUAGUGGCAAAACAGGCAUUGGAGGUAUUUUUAGGGAUAGUAAUGGCGACUUAAUUAUGGCCUUCUCAGUGCCUAUUACUUAUAAUAGCAACAAUAUGUCAGAGGCAAUGGCUGCAGAGUUUGGAGGGAAAUGAUGCAAUCAACUAGGAUACACUAAUUUCGCUCUCGAACUGGACUCUAUGGUCAUCACAACAUGCUUUCAAAUAGAGAUUCUAAUAACUUGAAGAUCAAAGAUGGUGAUUACAGGGAUCAUUAAUAUUAUACAACUUGCCAAUGUGACUAUGCAACAUUGCUUUAGAGAGGGUAACCAAGUACUAGAUUCUUUGGCUAAACUUGUUGCCACUACUUAUCAGAGCCUAAUAUGUCAAACAUAUCAAUAACUGCCUGCAAAUGCUAAAGGACCUUUCUUACUAGAUAAGUGGCAAAUGCCUAGUAUAAGGACAAGGUAUGAUAAGUCCAAUUUUUUUGUUAGUUGAAGUCUGUACCAUUAAUUUUGCUCAGAAAGGAGGACAUAGCGUUAUACCUCCUUCUGAUUUCUAUGUGAUGGAAUCACCACUGUUGUAUCUUUUUUAGGUCAGGACAUAGCCCCCUUAAUGCACUUUUUUGGUAAUACACUACCCAGACAAUAGUCUGGGUAACUUUAAUUAAAAAACAAUGA
Long non-coding RNA from Nicotiana attenuata, 4668 nucleotides. RefSeq lists it as uncharacterized. The record is from RefSeq and is a predicted model, not a curated record. The transcript is spliced from 2 exons. NCBI's taxonomy places the organism in Eukaryota, Viridiplantae, Streptophyta, Magnoliopsida, Solanales, Solanaceae.